GCGCUGAAAGAGGAGUCCGCGGCUGAUUAGCUAGUUGGUGAGGUAAUGGCUCACCAAGGCGAAGAUCGGUAGCCGGCCUGAGAGGGCACACGGCCACACUGGCACUGAAACACGGGCCAG
Molecule: ribosomal RNA, 120 nt
Filed under: uncultured bacterium
Lineage: Bacteria
Description: partial 16S ribosomal RNA
Rfam family: Bacterial small subunit ribosomal RNA
Source: RNAcentral